This 170-nucleotide unclassified non-coding RNA is filed under the name Fusobacterium varium. RNAcentral's name for it is "partial 16S-23S ribosomal RNA intergenic spacer". The record is from RNAcentral. Lineage: Bacteria; Fusobacteriati; Fusobacteriota; Fusobacteriia; Fusobacteriales; Fusobacteriaceae.
CUAAGGAGAUCAUUUCUCUUUCUCUAUUCUAUUGAUAAUGUUCUUGCAGCGUAUUAGCGCUGGACAACUUAUCAAAUGGACAUUGGAAACUAUAUAGUAGAUAAUACAAUUUUAACUCUUGUUUAUAUAAACAGAGUUAGCUGUCAAUCAAAUUAAACAAAAACAAAAUA